AUUGAACGCUAGCGGGAUGCUUUACACAUGCAAGUCGAACGGCAGCACGAGGAGCUUGCUCCUUGGUGGCGAGUGGCGGACGGGUGAGUAAUAUAUCGGAAUGUGCCCAGUAGCGGGGGAUAACUACUCGAAAGAGUGGCUAAUACCGCAUACGCCCUACGGGGGAAAGGGGGGGAAGGUCUUCGGACCUCUCACUAUUGGAGCAGCCGAUAUCAGAUUAGCUAGUUGGUGGGGG
This 235-nucleotide ribosomal RNA is filed under the name uncultured bacterium. Its description in RNAcentral is "partial 16S ribosomal RNA". It matches the Rfam family "Bacterial small subunit ribosomal RNA", at positions 30 to 258 of the family's 1533-position model. The record is from RNAcentral.